AACGCACCUUGCGCUCCUUGGUAUUCCGAGGAGCAUGCCUGUUUGAGUGUCAUGAAAUCUUCAACUUACAAGCCUUGUAAUGGGUUUGUAGGCUUGGACUUGGAGGCUUGUCGGUCUUUAAUAGGUCGGCUCCUCUUAAACGCAUUAGCUUGGUUCCUUGCGGAUCGGCUUGUCGGUGUGAUAAUGUCUACGCCGCGACCGUGAAGCGUUUGGGCGAGCUUCUAACCGUCUCGUUAUAGAGACAACCUUAUGACCUCUGACCUCAAAUCAGGUAGGACUACCCGCUGAACUUAA
This 294-nucleotide unclassified non-coding RNA is filed under the name uncultured fungus. RNAcentral's name for it is "partial contains 5.8S ribosomal RNA, internal transcribed spacer 2, and large subunit ribosomal RNA". The stretch from base 1 to 52 matches the Rfam family "5.8S ribosomal RNA", at positions 103 to 154 of the family's 154-position model. The record is from RNAcentral. Lineage: Eukaryota; Fungi.